RNAcentral lists this unclassified non-coding RNA (375 nucleotides) under uncultured bacterium. Its description in RNAcentral is "contains 16S-23S intergenic spacer region". The record is from RNAcentral.
UCCGAGUUGACCCCGGCAGUCUCCUAUGAGUCCCCACCAUAACGUGCUGGCCACAUAGGAUAAGGGUUGCGCUCGUUGCGGGACUUAACCCAACAUUUCACAACACGAGCUGACGACAACCAUGCACCACCUGUGAACCGGCCCCAAAGGGGAAACCACAUUUCUGCGGCGAUCCGGCCCAUGUCAAGCCUUGGUAAGGUUCUUCGCGUUGCCUCGAAUUAAGCAACAUGCUCCGCCGCUUGUGCGGGCCCCCGUCAAUUCCUUUGAGUUUCGGUCUUGCGACCGUACUCCCCAGGCGGAGUGUUUCACGCGUUAGCUGGGCCCCUGAUCCACGUAGACCAAGGGCGAACACUCAUCGUUUACGGCGUGGACUAC